This 719-nucleotide ribosomal RNA is filed under the name uncultured bacterium. RNAcentral's name for it is "bacterial SSU rRNA". It matches the Rfam family "Bacterial small subunit ribosomal RNA", at positions 8 to 722 of the family's 1533-position model. The record is from RNAcentral.
AGAGUUUGAUCAUGGCUCAGAUUGAACGCUGGCGGCAUGCCUUACACAUGCAAGUCGAACGGCAGCACAGGGGCAACCCUGGUGGCGAGUGGCGAACGGGUGAGUAAUACAUCGGAACGUGCCCGGUAGUGGGGGAUAGCCCGGCGAAAGCCGGAUUAAUACCGCAUACGACCUACGGGUGAAAGCGGGGGACCGCAAGGCCUCGCGCUAUCGGAGCGGCCGAUGUCGGAUUAGCUUGUUGGUGGGGUAAAGGCCUACCAAGGCGACGAUCCGUAGCUGGUCUGAGAGGACGACCAGCCACACUGGGACUGAGACACGGCCCAGACUCCUACGGGAGGCAGCAGUGGGGAAUUUUGGACAAUGGGCGCAAGCCUGAUCCAGCCAUGCCGCGUGCGGGAAGAAGGCCUUCGGGUUGUAAACCGCUUUUGUCAGGGAAGAAACGCUCCGGGCUAAUAUCCUGGAGUAAUGACGGUACCUGAAGAAUAAGCACCGGCUAACUACGUGCCAGCAGCCGCGGUAAUACGUAGGGUGCGAGCGUUAAUCGGAAUUACUGGGCGUAAAGCGUGCGCAGGCGGUUGUGCAAGACAGGUGUGAAAUCCCCGGGCUUAACCUGGGAACUGCAUUUGUGACUGUGCGACUGGAGUGUGGCAGAGGGGGAUGGAAUUCCGCGUGUAGCAGUGAAAUGCGUAGAUAUGCGGAGGAACACCGAUGGCGAAGGC